RNAcentral lists this ribosomal RNA (473 nucleotides) under uncultured bacterium. RNAcentral's name for it is "bacterial SSU rRNA". It matches the Rfam family "Bacterial small subunit ribosomal RNA", at positions 335 to 801 of the family's 1533-position model. The record is from RNAcentral.
ACUCCUACGGGAGGCAGCAGUAGGGAAUCUUCCACAAUGGGCGCAAGCCUGAUGGAGCAACACCGCGUGAGUGAAGAAGGGUUUCGGCUCGUAAAGCUCUGUUGUUAAAGAAGAACACGUAUGAGAGUAACUGUUCAUACGUUGACGGUAUUUAACCAGAAAGUCACGGCUAACUACGUGCCAGCAGCCGCGGUAAUACGUAGGUGGCAAGCGUUAUCCGGAUUUAUUGGGCGUAAAGAGAGUGCAGGCGGUUUUCUAAGUCUGAUGUGAAAGCCUUCGGCUUAACCGGAGAAGUGCAUCGGAAACUGGAUAACUUGAGUGCAGAAGAGGGUAGUGGAGCUCCAUGUGUAGCGGUGGAAUGCGUAGAUAUAUGGAAGAACACCAGUGGCGAAGGCGGCUACCUGGUCUGCAACUGACGCUGAGACUCGAAAGCAUGGGUAGCGAACAGGAUUAGAUACCCUGGUAGGAUAGCG